RNAcentral lists this ribosomal RNA (424 nucleotides) under uncultured bacterium. Its description in RNAcentral is "bacterial SSU rRNA". It matches the Rfam family "Bacterial small subunit ribosomal RNA", at positions 355 to 776 of the family's 1533-position model. The record is from RNAcentral.
UGAGGAAUAUUGGUCAAUGGACGCAAGUCUGAACCAGCCAUGCCGCGUGCAGGAUGACGGCCCUACGGGUUGUAAACUGCUUUUGUAUAGGAAUAAACCCCUUUACGUGUAGAGGGCUGAAUGUACUAUACGAAUAAGCACCGGCUAACUCCGUGCCAGCAGCCGCGGUAAUACGGAGGGUGCAAGCGUUAUCCGGAUUUAUUGGGUUUAAAGGGUGCGUAGGCGGGUUGCUAAGUCAGUGGUGAAAGCCUAUAGCUCAACUAUAGAACUGCCAUUGAUACUGGCGACCUUGAGUAUGUUCGAAGUAAGCGGAAUAAGACAUGUAGCGGUGAAAUGCUUAGAUAUGUCUUAGAACACCGAUAGCGAAGGCAGCUUACUAGGUCAUAACUGACGCUGAUGCACGAAAGCGUGGGGAGCGAACAGG